This 439-nucleotide ribosomal RNA is filed under the name uncultured prokaryote. RNAcentral's name for it is "partial 16S ribosomal RNA". The record is from RNAcentral.
CCCUACGGGGUGCGUCGGUCGAUGGGAAUAACUUCAUCGUCUAUCCGGGUAAUGCGACCCCAGCCACUUGGAAGCUGGAGAGCGUGGAUCUCACCAGCGUUUCCACGCUAGGAAACCUUUGCGGUAGAAGUCAGGUUUGGUUCGCCUUUAUUUUCGUGAGCGACGAAUCGACCUCCGGGCCGGAAUAUACCGGUGCUUUUGUGGACGACGUGACCAUCCAAAAGGAUAACCAACCGGACCUCUCUCCGUACCGACCCGCGAAGUGGAGCGACUCGGUUGCGAUUAGCCACAGCCAAUUGGCCGGCAGCGCCAGUCACCCCUACAGUGGCAAGUUCUACGAUAAUCUUCCUCUUUAUUUCAACUGGGCGGCGGGCGACCGUGGGAGCACGGCUUCCGGAUACACGGUACAUGCGCAGGUGACGGGCACGGGCGGGAGAGC